Molecule: non-coding RNA, 537 nt
Organism: Pipistrellus kuhlii (Kuhl's pipistrelle)
Lineage: Eukaryota; Metazoa; Chordata; Mammalia; Chiroptera; Vespertilionidae
Source: the annotation of a RefSeq genome assembly
AAGAUGAAGAGCUGGUCACACCUCUUAAGAGCCCUGAGGUGUGAGGCCAGCACCUGAAGAUGCUACUGCUUCUGCUGCUUCUGGGGUCCAGAUCCGGCCUUGGUGCUCACGUCUCUCAACAUCCAAGCAGGGCCAUCUGUACCAGCGGAGCCCCUGUGAAGAUCCAGUGCCAUUCUAUAGACCUUCAGGCCUCAACUAUAUUUUGGUAUCAUCAGUUACCCAAACAGGGCCUCAUACUGAUGGCGACUUCUAAUAUGGGCUCCCCAGUCACAUACGAACAAGGUUUUACUGAGGCCAAGUUUCCUAUCAGCCAUCCAAACCUAACAUUCUCAAGUCUGACGGUGACAAGUGCCCAUCCUGCAGAUAGCAGCCUCUACCUCUGCGGUGCUAGUGACACAGCGCUGGGCAGAGAUCAGAGGACCAACCAAGAACCUUUGCCCCUCUUCCCCACCCGCCGAAGCUGUGGAGUCCUGUGGAAGGUGUGGAGAGAGAAAAACCACAGCUCCUCUGACGGAGACAUCUGUGUGUAGAGAGAGA